This 522-nucleotide long non-coding RNA is filed under the name Mytilus galloprovincialis (Mediterranean mussel). Lineage: Eukaryota; Metazoa; Mollusca; Bivalvia; Mytilida; Mytilidae. The record is from RNAcentral.
UGGGAUUUAGAACCAAGAAGUACCCAAUAAGCAUGGACAUAGAAAAGGCUUUCUUACAUAUUGGAUUAGAUGAGAAAGAUCGAGAUUUUAAUCGCUUUUUUUGGUUGAGCAACACAGAUAAUCCCAGCAGUACUCUUACAACAUAUUGAUUUAAAUCUAUUUUGUUUGAUGCAACAAGUUCACCGUUCAUCCUAAAUGCAACACUGCUUAAACACUUGGAUGCAUGCGAAAAGUAAAAACACAAACAUACUGAACUCCGAGGAAAAUUCAAAAAGGAAAAUCAAAAAUCAAAAGGCAAAAUCAAAAGUCCAAACACAUCAAACGAAUGGAUAACAACUGUCAUAUUCCUGACUUGGUACAGGCAUUCUCUAAUGUAGAAAAUGGUGGAUUGAACCUGGUUUUAUAGCUAGCUAAACCUCUCACUUGUAUGACAGUCGUAUCAAAUUCCAUAACAUUGUCAACGAUGCAUGAACAAAACAAACAUACUCAAAGAGUAAAAAAUGUCAAAAAUAGGGGUACAGC